This 75-nucleotide transfer RNA is filed under the name Synechococcaceae bacterium WB6_1A_059. Its description in RNAcentral is "tRNA-Gly". It matches the Rfam family "tRNA". From Rfam's summary of the family: Transfer RNA (tRNA) molecules are approximately 80 nucleotides in length. The record is from RNAcentral. Lineage: Bacteria; Bacillati; Cyanobacteriota; Cyanophyceae; Synechococcales; Synechococcaceae.
GCGGGUAUAGUGCUAAAGGUAACACACGACCUUGCCAAGGUUGAAUUGAGAGUUCGAUUCUCUCUACCCGCUCCA